This 460-nucleotide ribosomal RNA is filed under the name uncultured bacterium. RNAcentral describes it as "partial 16S ribosomal RNA". It matches the Rfam family "Bacterial small subunit ribosomal RNA", at positions 338 to 795 of the family's 1533-position model. The record is from RNAcentral.
CCUACGGGUGACAGCAGUGAGGAAUAUUGGUCAAUGGACGAGAGUCUGAACCAGCCAAGUAGCGUGAAGGAUGACUGCCCUAUGGGUUGUAAACUUCUUUUAUAUGGGAAUAAAAUGUUCCACGUGUGGGAUUUUGUAUGUACCAUAUGAAUAAGGAUCGGCUAACUCCGUGCCAGCAGCCGCGGUAAUACGGAGGAUCCGAGCGUUAUCCGGAUUUAUUGGGUUUAAAGGGAGCGUAGGUGGAUUGUUAAGUCAGUUGUGAAAGUUUGCGGCUCAACCGUAAAAUUGCAGUUGAAACUGGCAGUCUUGAGUACAGUAGAGGUGUGCGGAAUUCGUGGUGUAGCGGUGAAAUGCUUAGAUAUCACGAAGAACUCCGAUUGCGAAGGCAGUUCACUGGACUGCAACUGACACUGAGGCUCGAAAGUGUGGGUAUCAAACAGGAUUAGAUACCCGUGUAGUC